CGCAGCCGCGGUAAUUCCAGCUUCAAUAGCGUAUAUUAAAGUUGUUGCAGUUAAAAAGCUCGUAGUUGAAUUUUAGGCUUGACCGGGCGGUCCGUCUCUGGCGAGUACUGUCCUGUUGUCGGGUCUAUCCUUCUGGUGAGCCGGUAUGUCCUUAAUUGGGUGUGUCGGGGAACCAGGACCAUUACCUUGAAAAAAAUUGAGUGUUUAAAGCGGGCUUUUGCUUGAAUAGAUUAGCAUGGAAUAAUAGAAUAGGACGUUGGUUCUAUUUUGUUGGUCUAGGACCACCGUAAUGAUUAAUAGGGAUAGUUGGGGGCAUUAGUAUUCAAUUGUCAGAGGUGAAAUUCUUGGAUUUAUUGAAGACUAACUACUGCGAAAGCAUUUGCCAAGGAUGUUUUCAUUAAUCAAGAACGAAAGUUAGGGAUCGAAGACGAUCAGAUACCGUCGUAGUCUUAACCAUAAACUAUGCCGACUAGGAAUCGGGCGACGUUAUUUUCAUGACUCGCUCGGCGCCUUAGUGGGA
RNAcentral lists this ribosomal RNA (520 nucleotides) under uncultured Archaeospora. Its description in RNAcentral is "SSU rRNA". It matches the Rfam family "Eukaryotic small subunit ribosomal RNA", at positions 569 to 1096 of the family's 1831-position model. Lineage: Eukaryota; Fungi; Glomeromycota; Glomeromycetes; Archaeosporales; Archaeosporaceae. The record is from RNAcentral.